Long non-coding RNA from Dermacentor silvarum, 276 nucleotides. RefSeq lists it as uncharacterized. Lineage: Eukaryota; Metazoa; Arthropoda; Arachnida; Ixodida; Ixodidae. The record is from RefSeq and is a predicted model, not a curated record. The transcript has 3 exons.
AGGGUCUGCGGCAGAGGCUUCGAAAAGCGGCUCCCACACAUUGAAGUGCCCCGAGGAGCAGGGUGGCAGCUCCCAUGUAGCUGGUGAAGGAGUUCCUGCUGACUGCGUCUUGCUGGAGGAAACCUUGGGCAGUCGCUCAGUUGUCACAAAGGAACAUACUUCCGCAGGCUGCUCGCAAGAUUGUUCCGACAGCAGUGUCCGAGGUACUGAACAAGCUUCACAAGACUCUCCAGAAGAUGUGUCCUCCAACAGCUCCACGCCUGAGUGCCCUACAGC